UACGAAGGGGGCUAGCGUUGCUCGGAAUCACUGGGCGUAAAGCGCACGUAGGCGGAUUUGUCAGUCAGGGGUGAAAUCCUGGAGCUCAACUCCAGAACGGCCUCUGAUACAGCAAGUCUCGAGUCCGGGAGAGGUGAGUGGAACUGCGAGUGUAGAGGUGAAAUUCGUAGAUAUUCGCAAGAACACCAGUGGCGAAGGCGGCUCACUGGCCCGGUACUGACGCUGAGGUGCGAAAGCGUGGGGAGCAAAC
Molecule: ribosomal RNA, 250 nt
Filed under: uncultured bacterium
Lineage: Bacteria
Description: partial 16S ribosomal RNA
Rfam family: Bacterial small subunit ribosomal RNA
Source: RNAcentral